UGGGGAAUAUUGCACAAUGGGCGAAAGCCUGAUGCAGCGACGCCGCGUGAGGGAUGACGGCCUUCGGGUUGUAAACCUCUUUCAGCAGGGAAGAAGCGAAAGUGACGGUACCUGCAGAAGAAGCGCCGGCUGACUACGUGCCAGCAGCCGCGGUAAUACGUAGGGCGCAAGCGUUGUCCGGAAUUAUUGGGCGUAAAGAGCUCGUAGGCGGUUAGUCGCGUCUGCUGUGAAAACUCGAGGCUCAACCUCGGGCUUGCAGUGGGUACGGGCUGACUAGAGUGCGGUAGGGGUGACUGGAAUUCCUGGUGUAGCGGUGGAAUGCGCAGAUAUCAGGAGGAACACCGAUGGCGAAGGCAGGUCACUGGGCCGCAACUGACGCUGAGGAGCGAAAGCAUGGGGAGCGAACAGGAUUAGAUACCCUGGUAGUCCAUGCCGUAAACGUUGGGCACUAGGUGUGGGUCCAUUCCACGGAUUCCGUGCCGCAGCAAACGCAUUAAGUGCCCCGCCUGGGGAGUACGGCCGCAAGGCUAAAACUUAAAUGAAUUGACGGGGUCAUAGCUGUUU
This 564-nucleotide ribosomal RNA is filed under the name uncultured bacterium. RNAcentral's name for it is "partial 16S ribosomal RNA". It matches the Rfam family "Bacterial small subunit ribosomal RNA", at positions 355 to 935 of the family's 1533-position model. The record is from RNAcentral.